AUUGCCCUAGUAACGGCGAGUGAAGCGGCAACAGCUCAAAUUUGAAAUCUGGCUUCGGCCCGAGUUGUAAUUUGCAGAGGAAGCUUUAGGCGCGGCACCUUCUGAGUCCCCUGGAACGGGGCGCCAUAGAGGGUGAGAGCCCCGUAUAGUUGGAUGCCUAGCCUGUGUAAAGCUCCUUCGACGAGUCGAGUAGUUUGGGAAUGCUGCUCAAAAUGGGAGGUAAAUUUCUUCUAAAGCUAAAUACCGGCCAGAGACCGAUAGCGCACAAGUAGAGUGAUCGAAAGAUGAAAAGCACUUUGAAAAGAGGGUUAAACAGCACGUGAAAUUGUUGAAAGGGAAGCGCUUGUGACCAGACUUGCGCCAGGCUGAUCAUCCGGUGUUCUCACCGGUGCACUCGGCCCGGCACAGGCCAGCAUCGGUUCUCGCGGGGGGAUAAAGGUCUCGGGAACGUAGCUCCUCCGGGAGUGUUAUAGCCCGGGGCGUAAUGCCCUCGCGGGGACCGAGGUUCGCGCAUCUGCAAGGAUGCUGGCGUAAUGGUCAUCAGCGACCCGUCUUGAAACACGGACCAAGGAGUCAAGGUUUUGCGCGAGUGUUUGGGUGUCAAACCCGCACGCGUAAUGAAAGUGAACGUAGGUGAGAGCUUCGGCGCAUCAUCGACCGAUCCUGAUGUUUUCGGAUGGAUUUGAGUAGGAGCGUUAAGCCUUGGACCCGAAAGAUGGUGAACUAUGCUUGGAUAGGGUGAAGCCAGAGGAAACUCUGGUGGAGGCUCGCAGCGGUUCUGACGUGCAAAUCGAUCGUCAAAUCUGAGCAUGGGGCGAAAGACUAAUCGA
RNAcentral lists this ribosomal RNA (830 nucleotides) under Dichotomopilus funicola. RNAcentral's name for it is "LSU rRNA". It matches the Rfam family "Eukaryotic large subunit ribosomal RNA", at positions 74 to 938 of the family's 3401-position model. The record is from RNAcentral. Lineage: Eukaryota; Fungi; Ascomycota; Sordariomycetes; Sordariales; Chaetomiaceae.